UAAAAGAACACUUUUCAUUUGAAACUUCAGUAGUUGGUUCAACUCUGUGGAAAUGAGAGUGUUUUUGUUUUUGGCUCUUCUUGCUGUGUCAGCAGUAAAUGCUGCUGAAAAAACAAAAACUGGACUGGAUAAGUCACCG
Molecule: long non-coding RNA, 139 nt
Organism: Leptinotarsa decemlineata (Colorado potato beetle)
Lineage: Eukaryota; Metazoa; Arthropoda; Insecta; Coleoptera; Chrysomelidae
Source: RefSeq, a predicted model, not a curated record